Molecule: ribosomal RNA, 467 nt
Filed under: uncultured bacterium
Lineage: Bacteria
Description: partial 16S ribosomal RNA
Rfam family: Bacterial small subunit ribosomal RNA
Source: RNAcentral
GACGAACGCUGGCGGCGUGCUUAACACAUACAAGUCGAACGGAAAGGCCCUGCUUUUGUGGGGUGCUCGAGUGGCGAACGGGUGAGUAACACGUGAGUAACCUGCCCUUGACUUUGGGAUAACUUCAGGAAACUGGGGCUAAUACCGGAUAGGAGCUCCUGCUGCAUGGUGGGGUUGGAAAGUUUCGGCGGUUGGGGAUGGACUCGCGGCUUAUCAGCUUGUUGGUGGGGUAGUGGCUUACCAAGGCUUUGACGGGUAGCCGGCCUGAGAGGGUGACCGGCCACAUUGGGACUGAGAUACGGCCCAGACUCCUACGGGAGGCAGCAGUGGGGAAUAUUGCACAAUGGGCGGAAGCCUGAUGCAGCAACGCCGCGUGCGGGAUGACGGCCUUCGGGUUGUAAACCGCUUUCGCCUGUGACGAAGCGUGAGUGACGGUAAUGGGUAAAGAAGCACCGGCUAACUACGUG